UCUGUUCUGGUGGAUCACAUCUUUGUGUUGUUGGAAGUUGCAAGAACUUUUCUGAUAGAUUUCAGCAGAACUAAGAAUUACUUGAUUCUAUUGUUGACUUGAUCUCUGCUUUUUGAAACUUUGGACCAGUCUGCGGGUGAGAUGAGUCUUCUGCUUAUUAACACAAGUAUGAAAAAUAGCUCAUGUUCAAGAUCACAGCAUGCAUAGGAGUCCAAACCAUCUUGAGAUAUUGGACAAAGGAAUUAGAGGUCAGCUGGGCAGAAAAAUGUCAGUGUCUUAUGUCUACGCUGGAUAGAAGAAGAAUUAAGAGACUUAUUGAUUCGAGGAAGAUUUAGACCAGUCACUGAGGAGGAACUAGCAGGAAGAGAUUUUCAAGAGCAACCUGUCUGUAGAGCCCCGGUACAGCAGGGUGCUGGCCUGAAACCAAUGUUCUGUGGGACUGGAGCCAGAAACAGGAUCAGGGUUGCAGGAAGAACCCUGAAAAGAAAGGCUCUUCUUUCAGAAAGUGGAGCUCCAUGAGCUGUCGGCAUCCCAGGGGCAGAGCAGAGGCAGAUUUUGGCUGUGAAGUUGACCCAGCCAAUGCCACGCAGGACAAGGUGGCAUUGAGAAGGUCCACAGCAGCAGCAUGUGUGCUGGAGGGGAACCACAAGCCGUGAAGGAUAGGGCAAAAGUGCCCGCUUCAUAAAUACACAUAAACAAACAAAACAGCUCACCAGCAGACAAUUGUUUUCAGCAGCGUUCUUGAAUGAAUAAGUCAGAAUAAAGACACACGGGAAAACCCAGCAAUAAGAAACCUGAAGAGUCGUGGAUGGAGCAAAUUAAAAGUUCUGCCCAAAAUUCAGUGCUUCAGUGACCAUGGUUUCUCCUCUGCGAAGGCCCUCCUGUUGCCUUAGAAAAUUAUCAUCCCGUUUACUUAAUUAGGCUGACUCCAAGCUUUAGGCAUCGGCCUGCCAAGAUGAUGCACACAGCGUAUGACACCUGUCAGUUGACUUCAAUGACUGCUCACCACUUCUUCGUGUUCUGCACCUCCCACAAGUCAGCUCCACAGAUGUGUCAGGAACGCUUCCUGAUGACUGCAUUGUAACAAAUGUGCAGGCGUAAGUCUCCUGGAUUUGCAGGAAGUUGUACAGAAUGGUCCAAUAGGUCAUCUUCAUCUCUGGCUUAUGUGGUAAUAAAGGAAUAAUAAAAACGAAGGUUGCAAAGCAUUCUUUCCAUGACUGAAUCAGCUGGCUUUUUUAUGGGCCAGUUAUUCACUGAGCAAUAAAUAUUCAUGGGCUUUUCAGCAAAGACAUGGUGCAUAAUUAGUCUUGAGCGC
RNAcentral lists this long non-coding RNA (1315 nucleotides) under Gallus gallus (chicken). Lineage: Eukaryota; Metazoa; Chordata; Aves; Galliformes; Phasianidae. The record is from RNAcentral.